Molecule: ribosomal RNA, 404 nt
Filed under: uncultured bacterium
Lineage: Bacteria
Description: bacterial SSU rRNA
Rfam family: Bacterial small subunit ribosomal RNA
Source: RNAcentral
GUCGACGAGACAAAGGUGCUUGCACCUUUAGAAAGUGGCGAACGGGUGAGUAACGCGUGGGCAACCUGCCCUAUGGAAAGGAAUAGCCUCGGGAAACUGGGAGUAAUGCCUUAUAAGAUACGUUUGUCGCAUGGCAGAGGUAUUAAACGCUCCGGUGCCAUAGGAUGGACCCGCGUCCCAUUAGCUAGUUGGUGAGAUAACAGCCCACCAAGGCGACGAUGGGUAACCGGUCUGAGAGGGCGAACGGUCACACUGGAACUGAGACACGGUCCAGACUCCUACGGGAGGCAGCAGUGGGGAAUAUUGCGCAAUGGGGGAAACCCUGACGCAGCAAUACCGCGUGAGUGAAGAAGGUUUUCGGAUCGUAAAGCUCUGUUAUUGGGGAAGAAAAAAAGACGGUACCC